Molecule: ribosomal RNA, 806 nt
Filed under: uncultured bacterium
Lineage: Bacteria
Description: bacterial SSU rRNA
Rfam family: Bacterial small subunit ribosomal RNA
Source: RNAcentral
ACUUAAAAUGAGAGCUUCGGCAGGAUUUUUAUUUAUCUUAGUGGCGGACGGGUGAGUAACGUGUGGGCAACCUGCCCUAUACUGGGGAAUAAUCACUGGAAACGGUGACUAAUACCGCAUGUCAUUACGGAAGGGCAUCCUUCUGUAAGAAAAGGAGUAAUUCGGUAUAGGAUGGGCCCGCAUCUGAUUAGCUAGUUGGUGAGAUAGCAGCCCACCAAGGCGACGAUCAGUAGCCGACCUGAGAGGGUGAUCGGCCACAUUGGGACUGAGACACGGCCCAAACUCCUACGGGAGGCAGCAGUGGGGAAUAUUGCACAAUGGGGGAAACCCUGAUGCAGCAACGCCGCGUGAAGGAAGAAGGUUUUCGGAUCGUAAACUUCUAUCAACAGGGACGAAGAAAGUGACGGUACCUGAAUAAGAAGCCCCGGCUAACUACGUGCCUGCAGCCGCGGUAAUACGUAGGGGGCAAGCGUUAUCCGGAAUUACUGGGUGUAAAGGGAGCGUAGGCGGCACGCCAAGCCAGAUGUGAAAGCCCGAGGCUUAACCUCGCGGAUUGCAUUUGGAACUGGCGAGCUAGAGUACAGGAGAGGAAAGCGGAAUUCCUAGUGUAGCGGUGAAAUGCGUAGAUAUUAGGAAGAACACCAGUGGCGAAGGCGGCUUUCUGGACUGAAACUGACGCUGAGGCUCGAAAGCGUGGGGAGCAAACAGGAUUAGAUACCCUGGUAGUCCACGCCGUAAACGAUGAGUGCUAGGUGUCGGGGAGGAAUCCUCGGUGCCGCAGCUAACGCAAUAAGCACUCCACCUGG